AAAUGGCUUAAGGGGGAGCAAAUGGGACACCUAGAAAGACUUUAUUAUUUUGCUUUUCUGAGCUAAUCAAUGACUUUAACUUGGAAAAGCAACUAAAUAUUUGGAGAAAACCAUGAAAAGAAUAUAUACUUACAGACUGGCCAAGGAGAUCUUCAAGGACACUCCUAAAGAAAAUUUCCCAGGAACGAGAAAAAUUUGCUGAUGAAGGCAGUAUAUUUUACACCCUUGGAGAAUGUGGGCUCAUAUCCUUUUCAGACUACAUUUUCCUCACAACUGUUCUUUCCAGUA
Molecule: long non-coding RNA, 288 nt
Filed under: Pan troglodytes (chimpanzee)
Lineage: Eukaryota; Metazoa; Chordata; Mammalia; Primates; Hominidae
Description: long non-coding RNA NONPTRT002223
Source: RNAcentral